Sapajus apella (tufted capuchin) is the source of this 310-nucleotide long non-coding RNA. RefSeq lists it as uncharacterized. NCBI's taxonomy places the organism in Eukaryota, Metazoa, Chordata, Mammalia, Primates, Cebidae. The record is from RefSeq and is a predicted model, not a curated record. The transcript has 2 exons.
UAUUGCAAAUAAUUAUGGUACGCACAUGAGUGUGUAAACAUUUAUUCAAGUUUUACUUUUAUUUCUUAUAUAGCCAGAAUUGUGAUUUGUGGAUCAUGCUCUAAUUAAUUUUUUUUGGAGAAGCCACCUGUAUUAGUCUAGUCUCACUCUGCUAAUAAACAUGUACCCAAGACUGUUAAUUUAUAAAGAAAAGAGGUUUAAUUGACUCACAGUUCUGCAGGGCUAGGGAGGCCUCAGGAAACUUACAAUCAUAGCAGAAGGGGAAGCCAACAUGUCUUCUUCACAUGGUAGUUGGAAGGAGAAGUGCAGA